CACGUAGGGUGCGAGCGUUGUCCGGAAUCAUUGGGCGUAAAGAGCGUGUAGGCGGUCCGGUCAGUCGGUUGUGAAAGUCAAGGGCUCAACCCUUGAAUGCCGGCCGAUACUGCCGGGCUAGAGUCCGGAAGAGGCGAGUGGAAUUCCUGGUGUAGCGGUGAAAUGCGCAGAUAUCAGGAGGAACACCGAUUGCGAAGGCAGCUCGCUGGGACGUUACUGACGCUGAGACGCGAAAGCGUGGGGAGCAAACAGG
This 253-nucleotide ribosomal RNA is filed under the name uncultured bacterium. RNAcentral describes it as "partial 16S ribosomal RNA". It matches the Rfam family "Bacterial small subunit ribosomal RNA", at positions 524 to 776 of the family's 1533-position model. The record is from RNAcentral.